This is a long non-coding RNA of Cebus imitator (Panamanian white-faced capuchin), 671 nucleotides long. RefSeq lists it as uncharacterized. The record is from RefSeq and is a predicted model, not a curated record. NCBI's taxonomy places the organism in Eukaryota, Metazoa, Chordata, Mammalia, Primates, Cebidae. The transcript is spliced from 3 exons.
GAUGAGCCCAGGAACAAACUUAGGAAGCUGUUUUCCCCAAAUUCCUCUCUCUCUCUGUGACCUCCCUGGUCCUUUCCAGAUCGCUGGGCUCCCUUUUUCGGUCCUCUGACCAAAAACCUGAUGUAGUUAGCCCACUCUGCCAUGUACUUCCUACAACUGCACCCACAGUCGCGACCAAGCAGCAAAGAUUUAAGAGGAUAAAAAAGCGUGACGGUCCAGCACUUUGGGAGGCCGAGGCGGGUGGAUCACGAGAGAACCAUCCGGAGUAGUGAGCAUGCUUCAUGUCCAGAUGCUGCUUGCUGAAAACAUUCUCAGAACAAGAGGGACUAGCCCAAGAGGGAAAGCCCUGCAGAUCGCUCACUCUGGGAGUCACCUGUCAUGUCAUGAUGAUGCUCAAGCAGCCUUGCGGAAAAGCUUCACGAGGAGAGGAACUGAGACCUCCUGCCAACAGCCAUGAGAGGGGCUGUCGUAAAAGCAGAUCCUCUAGCCCCAGUCAAGCCUUCAGAUGACAGCAGCUCCUGUGGACAUCUUGACCACAACUUCAUGAGACCCUAAGCCAGAAACACUCAUCUAAACUUCCCCAGACCUCUGACUCUCAGAAACUGUGAGAUAAUAAAUGUUUGUUAUUCUAAACUGUUAUGCCUGGGGGUAACUUGUUAUACAGCAAUAAA